RNAcentral lists this ribosomal RNA (863 nucleotides) under Glandirana rugosa (Japanese wrinkled frog). RNAcentral's name for it is "Rugosa rugosa (Japanese wrinkled frog) partial 16S ribosomal RNA". It matches the Rfam family "Bacterial large subunit ribosomal RNA", at positions 1613 to 2620 of the family's 2925-position model. Lineage: Eukaryota; Metazoa; Chordata; Amphibia; Anura; Ranidae. The record is from RNAcentral.
AAUUCCAAUAACUCUUAUUAACCCCUCGCCACUACUGAACAAUUUUAUAAUUCUAUAAAAACUAUUAUGCUAGAACUAGUAACAAGAAACUGCCUUUCUCCUAAAUGUAAGUUUACACCACAUCGGACUGUCCACUGGUAUUUAACGUAACUGUCCCCAUUAUAGCAACACUCAACCAGAAAACCCUAUAAACACCAACGUUAACCUCACACUAGAACAUUUUAGGAAAGAUUAAAAGAAAGAGAAGGAACUCGGCAAACCUUAGCCCCGCCUGUUUACCAAAAACAUCGCCUCUUGCCUAAUAUAAGAGGUCCAGCCUGCCCAGUGACAUAGUUUAACGGCCGCGGUACCCUAACCGUGCGAAGGUAGCAUAAUCACUUGUUCCUUAAAUAGGGACUAGUAUCAACGGCAUCACGAGGGCUACACUGUCUCCUCUCUCUAAUCAGUGAAACUGAUCUCUCCGUGAAGAAGCGGAGAUUUUAAUAUAAGACGAGAAGACCCCAUGGAGCUUAAAACUCAACAUACACCUCUAUUUUUCUACACCAAUUAACCACAAGAGUCUGUAUAUUAGUUUUAGGUUGGGGGGACCGCGGAGUAAAACUCAACCUCCACGACAAACGGGCCAACGCCCUUAUCCAUGAAACACAAUUCUAAGAAUCAACAAUCUGAUGUUUUAUGAUCCAAUAAGUCGAUCAACGAACCAAGUUACCCUGGGGAUAACAGCGCAAUCUACUUUAAGAGCUCCUAUCGACAAGUGGGUUUACGACCUCGAUGUUGGAUCAGGGUAUCCCAGUGGUGCAGCCGCUACUGAUGGUUCGUUUGUUCAACGAUUAAAACCCUACGUGAUCUGAGUUCAGACCGGA